AUCUGGCGGGAAACUUGGGCAGGGUCAGCUCCCUGGGGGCGGUGGUGGUGCGGGGGGUCCUCCUCAGGCCCGGCCGCGCUCAGACACCGGCCGGCGGUGCGAUGGAGCUGCGUCAGGAGCGGAGGUAAAGCCGGGUACUCGGGACCUGCUGCCGCGCCUCCGCCCGAGCUGGCACCGCGGUAGAUCCUGCUGCCGCGGGCAGCGGAAACAGCGGGAGCGCGGAGCCAAGGCUCCCGACCGCACCCGGGAGCGGGAGCGGAAGCAGGAGACUGCGCAGGCGCCGCCGCGUGACCCUCCGACCUGCUGUCCCUGCACGGCCAUGGCAGCAGUCCGGGCCCUGCUGGCGCCGAGGCUGGCGGCCUCCGCGCUCGCGCCGCGCGCCACCCUCCACGGCUCCGCGCCGCGCCCCGGGACCAGGGUCGCGUUGGUGCUGUCUGGGUGCGGCGUCUACGACGGCACGGAGCUGCACGAGGCCUCCGCGGUGCUGGUUCACCUGAGCCGUGGUGGGGCUGAGGUCCAGAUCUUUGCUCCUGACAUCCCUCAGAUGCAUGUAGUCGACCACACCAAGGGGCAGCCUUCUGAGACUGAAACCAGGAACGUUCUGACUGAGUCAGCCAGGAUUGCCCGUGGCAAGAUCACCGACCUGGCCAAGCUCCGCACGGCCGACCACGAUGCUGCCAUCUUCCCUGGAGGCUUUGGAGCUGCCAAGAACUUUCACCCUCUGAGGUGGUCUCGCCGGAGGUCUGCUCACAUCCAUACCGUCUCCCACACACUCCUCGCAGCACAGGGACCUGCUUUUCUGUUAGGUUGUUGGGAGCACGUUCGCCAUACACGGAAAAGACUGCACAGUCCACAGAGACGUGGAGCGCGUCCUGAAGGAGUUCCACCAGGCUGGGAAGCCCAUUGGGCUCGGCAGAGGCACUUCUUUUCUGGGUUGCUGCCAUGAGCCCCACUCCUGAGCUUCCUCUGGGAGCCCCUCCCCGAGGACUGGUCUGAGGUGGCCCCGGGCAGCAGCCUCACGUUCCUCUGCGCUCCCAAACUCGGCACAGCAGUUACUCCCAUCACAGCCUGUGGUCCUGGGUCCCGGCAGUCCCAGCAGGUGGGUGAGGCCAGCUGUGCCUGCCACCAGGAGUGGUUCCCCGGGGGCAGGUGCUGGCACCGCCGUCAGAUCCAUUCCACCAGCAUUCCAGCAGUUGUUCCUCGGUCCUGCCUCAACACUGCACAGUGGGCCCAUGGGGCACUGAGCACGUGCAUUGCACACCUUGGAGUCUCACUGGUGGUAGAAGCUGUCUCAGAGCACAGCUGUGCAGAUGCACUGGAGCUGAACUCACAGGGUUGCAGACUCAAGGCCUCCCAACCUCCACCUGACAGCUGCUGGCUCCCGCGUCACUGGUGAGCCAACAUACCCAGGUCGCUCUAGAACCCUCCAUCUGAACAGAACACAGCAGCCAAGGAGGUUGGGUCUGUCACAGACCCUUAGCCACUCAUCAGAUGCCCUGCCCAGCUUGGGAGCCCCCUUUGUCACAAGCAGUGUCAGCCUGGCAGCAUGUGCCACCUUCUACCUGCAUCUUCUUGGACCAGACCUGCCCGGAAGGGAUGGUGCCGCAAGCCCCCCACCUCCCAGGGUGCUGUCACUGGAACAGCUCCAGUUUUUGCAG
Molecule: non-coding RNA, 1658 nt
Organism: Manis javanica (Malayan pangolin)
Lineage: Eukaryota; Metazoa; Chordata; Mammalia; Pholidota; Manidae
Source: RefSeq, a predicted model, not a curated record